GAUGAACGCUAGCGGCAGGCCUAACACAUGCAAGUCGAGGGGUAGAGGAAGCUUGCUUCCUUGAGACCGGCGCACGGGUGCGUAACGCGUAUGCAAUCUACCUUUUACAGAGGGAUAGCCCAGAGAAAUUUGGAUUAAUACCUCAUAGUAUCCUUGCCUGGCAUCGGGUGAUUAUUAAAGUUCCAACGGUAAAAGAUGAGAAUGCGUCCUAUUAGCUAGAUGGUAAGGUAACGGCUUACCAUGGCAACGAUAGGUAGGGGUCCUGAGAGGGAGAUCCCCCACACUGGUACUGAGACACGGACCAGACUCCUACGGGAGGCAGCAGUGAGGAAUAUUGGACAAUGGGCGCAAGCCUGAUCCAGCCAUGCCGCGUGCAGGAAGACGGUCCUAUGGAUUGUAAACUGCUUUUGUACGGGAAGAAACACUCCUACGUGUAGGAGCUUGACGGUACCGUAAGAAUAAGGAUCGGCUAACUCCGUGCCAGCCGCCGCCGUAA
Molecule: ribosomal RNA, 496 nt
Filed under: uncultured bacterium
Lineage: Bacteria
Description: partial 16S ribosomal RNA
Rfam family: Bacterial small subunit ribosomal RNA
Source: RNAcentral